CGACGUCAGUUCCUCUUCCUGCUUGCAGUCAGCAGGAGGCUUUAGUGAUGUCGCAGACAGACGUGGGUCCUUUUCACCCGGGAAGCUUUAGGCUGCCGCCGAACUCACAGCUUCCUGGUUUUGCGGGACCCAACAAAU
Astatotilapia calliptera (eastern happy) is the source of this 138-nucleotide small nucleolar RNA. Ensembl annotates it as small nucleolar RNA SNORA79. Lineage: Eukaryota; Metazoa; Chordata; Actinopteri; Cichliformes; Cichlidae. The record is from Ensembl.